This 415-nucleotide ribosomal RNA is filed under the name uncultured microorganism. RNAcentral describes it as "bacterial SSU rRNA". It matches the Rfam family "Archaeal small subunit ribosomal RNA", at positions 330 to 743 of the family's 1478-position model. The record is from RNAcentral.
GUGCACCAGGCGCGAAACCUCCGCAAUGCGGGAAACCGCGACGGGGGACCCCGAGUGCCGUGGCAACGCCACGGCUUUUCCGGAGUGUAAAAAGCUCCGGGAAUAAGGGCUGGGCAAGGCCGGUGGCAGCCGCCGCGGUAAUACCGGCGGCCCGAGUGGUGGCCGCUAUUAUUGGGCCUAAAGCGUCCGUAGCCGGGCCCGUAAGUCCCUGGCGAAAUCCCACGGCUCAACCGUGGGGCUUGCUGGGGAUACUGCGGGUCUUGGGACCGGGAGAGGCGGGGGGUACCCCUGGGGUAGGGGUGAAAGUCCUAUAAUCCCAGGGGGACCGCCAGUGGCGAAGGCGCCCCGCUGGAACGGGUCCGACGGUGAGGGACGAAGGCCAGGGGAGCAAACCGGGAUUAGAUACCCCGGUGUA